CCCUUAGAUGUUCUGGGCCGCACGCGCGCUACAAUGAUGAAUUCAACGAGUUUAUAACCUUGGUUGAAAAGCCUGGGUAAUCUUUUGAACUUUCGUCGUGAUGGGGCUAGACCCUUGCAAUUAUUGGUCUCCAACGAGGAAUUCCUAGUAAACGCAAGUCAUCAGCUUGCAUUGAUUACGUCCCUGCCCUUUGUACACACCGCCCGUCGCACCUACCGAUUGAAUGGUCCGGUGAAAUCUUCGGAUUGAGACUUUGAUUUCUUCACGGAAAACGCUGUUUUAAGAAGUUGAUUAAACCUUACCAUUUAGAGGAAGGUGAAGGCGUAACA
This 329-nucleotide ribosomal RNA is filed under the name uncultured eukaryote. Its description in RNAcentral is "partial 18S ribosomal RNA". It matches the Rfam family "Eukaryotic small subunit ribosomal RNA", at positions 1470 to 1796 of the family's 1831-position model. The record is from RNAcentral.